ACUCGAGUGGCGAACGGGUGAGUAACACGUGGGUGAUCUGCCCUGCACUUCGGGAUAAGCUUGGGAAACUGGGUCUAAUACCGGAUAGGAGCCAUCUUUAGUGUGGUGGUUGGAAAGUUUUUCGGUGUAGGAUGAGCUCGCGGCCUAUCAGCUUGUUGGUGGGGUAAUGACCUACCAAGGCGGCGACGGGUAGCCGGCCUGAGAGGGUGUACGGCCACAUUGGGACUGAGAUACGGCCCAG
Molecule: ribosomal RNA, 241 nt
Filed under: uncultured Actinomycetales bacterium
Lineage: Bacteria; Bacillati; Actinomycetota; Actinomycetes; Actinomycetales
Description: partial 16S ribosomal RNA
Rfam family: Bacterial small subunit ribosomal RNA
Source: RNAcentral